AUUGAACGCUGGCGGCAGGCUUAACACAUGCAAGUCGAGCGGAAGGUGUCUUCGGGCACUGAGAGCGGCGAACGGGUGAGUAACGCGUGGGAAUUUGCCUAAUAGUGGGGGACAACAUUGCGAAAGUGAUGCUAAUACCGCAUACGCCCUAAGGGGGAAAGUGGGGGAUCUUCGGACCUCACGCUAUUAGAGGAGCCCGCGUCGGAUUAGCUAGUUGGUAGGGUAAAGGCCUACCAAGGCGACGAUCCGUAACUGGUCUGAGAGGAUGAUCAGUCACACUGGAACUGAGACACGGUCCAGACUCCUACGGGAGGCAGCAGUGGGGAAUAUUGGACAAUGGGGGCAACCCUGAUCCAGCCAUGCCGCGUGUGUGAAGAAGGCCUUCGGGUUGUAAAGCACUUUAAGUUGGGAGGAAGGCCUUGAAGUUAAUACCUUUGAGGAUUGACGUUACCAACAGAAUAAGCACCGGCUAACUCCGUGCCAGCCGCCGCGGUAA
RNAcentral lists this ribosomal RNA (496 nucleotides) under uncultured bacterium. RNAcentral describes it as "partial 16S ribosomal RNA". It matches the Rfam family "Bacterial small subunit ribosomal RNA", at positions 30 to 523 of the family's 1533-position model. The record is from RNAcentral.